Molecule: ribosomal RNA, 502 nt
Filed under: uncultured bacterium
Lineage: Bacteria
Description: bacterial SSU rRNA
Rfam family: Bacterial small subunit ribosomal RNA
Source: RNAcentral
GAUGAACGCUAGCGGCAGGCCUAAUACAUGCAAGACGAACGGUAAGUUGAGUAGCAAUACUUAGCCAAGAGUGUCGUACGGGUGCGUAACACGUAUGCAACCUACCCUAUACAGGAGGAUAGCCUAGGGAAACCUGGAUUAACCCUUCAUAGUAUUAUUGGAUGGCAUCAUUUGAUAAUUAAAACUGAGGUGGUAUAGGAUGGGCAUGCGUCUGAUUAGUUAGUUGGCGGGGUAAUGGCCCACCAAGACGAUGAUCAGUAGGGGUUCUGAGAGGAAGAUCCCCCACACUGGCACUGAGAUACGGGCCAGACUCCUACGGGAGGCAGCAGUAGGGAAUAUUGGGUCAAUGGAUGCAAGUCUGAACCAGCCAUGCCGCGUGCAGGAAGAAGGCCUUCUGGGUUGUAAACUGCUUUUGCCAGGGGGAUAAAAUUUCCAUGCGUGGAAAACUGAAGGUACCUGGUGAUAAGCCACGGCUAACUACGUGCCAGCAGCCGCGGUAAUC